RNAcentral lists this long non-coding RNA (3039 nucleotides) under Homo sapiens (human). RNAcentral describes it as "HSALNT0340226". Lineage: Eukaryota; Metazoa; Chordata; Mammalia; Primates; Hominidae. The record is from RNAcentral.
UAUCCUAAGUGAACUAACACAGAACAGAAAACCAAAUACUGUAUGUGCUCCCUAUAAGUAGGAGCUAAACACUGAGCCCACAUGGACAAAAAGAAGGGAAUAAUAGGCACCAGGGCCUACUUGAGGGUGGAGGGUUGGAGGAGAGCGAGGACUGAGAAAAUACCUAUCAGGUACGAUGCUUAUUACCUGGGUGACAAAAUAAUCUGUACACCAAACCCCAUGACAUGCAAUUUACCUAUAUAACAAACCUGCAAAUGUACUCCUGCACCUAAAAUAGAAGUUGGAAGGAAAAAAAUACAUUGCACAAAUGGAAACAAUAAAAUCUACAAUUUGAACAUUUAUUUGAAUAGCUGGACGUGUCAUCAGAACAACUCUUGAUGCUUAUUUAGGCUCCCAGAGUUACCUAAAGAGAACAUGAGGUUUAAGAACCACUGAUGAGGAAUCAAAGCCCUACUUUGAAGAGUAUAAAUAUAUAUUAAGCAUUAUAUACAUAUAUACACACACAUUUUAAAGAAUUAUAAAAUGAACACUUGUAUACUUAACACCAAGGAAUUGAAUAUUAACAUUGAAGCACCCAGGGCUUCUCCUGUAUUGCAUUCUUUCCUAGAAGUGAUCACCAGCCUAUGUUUUGAAUUAAUUAUGCCUAUGCUUUCGCUGUUUUGCCACACUAUAUCUUCUAUAAUAUUGUCUUGUUUGCUUUUAGGCCCUAUGUAAAUGGCAUAUAUAUUGACAUGCACACACAUCCCCUUUGAUGACUUAGUUUUUUAACAGUCUAUUUGACAUUGGUUCCCACUGAUGCUUGUCACUGUAGAUCACAUUCAUUCCUUUACAAUAUUACGUUGUAUGGAAAUAUCCAUUUUAUCCAUUCUGUUGGUGGGCCUUUGAGUUGUUUUCAGCUUUUUUUCCUCAGGUACAAAUAAUGCUUCCAUGAAGAUUCUUGUAAUUGGUUUCCUUGGUAUAUUUGUAACAACAUUUCUUUAGGGUGACACUAUAAAUUGCAGAGACUACAUACUUUAAAACUUAUUAGGAAUUAACAACUUAUUUUCUAAGGUGGCUGUACCAAUUUACACUCCUACUAUAAUUUCAUGAGAGUUCUUGUGGCACCCUGUCCUCACCAAUUCUUAUCUGAAUGUAAAUAUUACCAUGUGGUUUUAAUCUGUAUUUCCCUAUUUUCUUCUAAGACUUUAAACAUUUUACUUUCAUUUAAGUCCUUGACCCAUUUAAAUUUGACUUUUGUGCAUGAAGUUAUAUAUAUAUACCUGUCCUUUUGAAAAUGUCCUUAUAUUUCUCUUAUUAAGAAUUUUCAAAGAUUUUUCUUUCCCCUUAUCUCAAUCCCCAUCCUUUAUGAACAGACUCGAUGAAUUAAAGAAUAUGAACCCAUACAGAGCUUCAGAGACAUACACUUUCUAAAGAAUAUGAAUUAGAGGAGACAGCACUGAUGGGAGUGACAGAAGCGGUGCCGGUUAACUCCCCACCAUCAAAAGUAUCUUCUGCUGUAGUCUGGCACAAGUUUCAAGCAUCCACUGGGGGUCUUGGGAUGCGUCGCCCUGCAGAUAAGGGCAACUGCUGUGCAGCAUGAACAGUAUGGAGACAAUACUUAUCUUCAUGGAGUUUAUAUUAGAGUAAGACAAGAGGUAGGAGACUGCCUAUUUUAUUGUUCUCUUGAAAAGACUGGGUAUUUUACUUUUAUGAAAGGCUUUAUAGCCUGCAGGGGCAUUCUAAUAUGGAUUUUGGGGGUGAAGAGAGAAAUAGGUGUAGAAAGUAAGUUCAGGGGUGCAGAGACCCAUAGGUUUUUUAAAAGAGAAGUCAGGGGAAGGUCUCUUAAGGUAGUAGUGGAGUCCAAAUUAUUCUAUGUCCCUUGUAGCUCCUACCCUUUGUAUGCAGUAAUUUUUUUUUAAAUCGAAGACAGGGGAAGGUCUCUUAAGGUAAUAGUAGAGACCAAAUUAUUCUAUCUCCCUCGUAGCUCCUUCCCUGUGUAUGCAGUUAACGGAGUGUGGUUUCCCCACUUGUCCCGAAAUCUUCUAGGCACAACAGAUUCCUGUAGUGAGCUGCAUGCAAGGAAGAAGCCUGGUAGGUGAGUAAUUAUUAUAAUCACCAAGAACCCUGAAAGUAACUACUGAUACUUUAUUUAAAUCAAGUAGCUAAUUAAAAAUGUGAAUAUACAACCAAAUCCCAAGACACGAAUAUCAUGAAAAGGAAACAUCAAAAUAAAUAAGCAAAAAACUUGACCUUUCAUGAAACAGCUAAUGCAAAUGAAAACUCCAAUUAUUGUUUUCACAGAAGUUUAAGAGGAUAAUGCAUCCAUAUAAUUAAAAUAAGCUCCAGUGAAAAGGAGUUUUCAGAAAUUCUAAGAAAAAUAUAUUUGCCUAAUUUAAAGCCUCAAAAGAAAGUUGAAGAGCAAAAUGCACACAGCUGAAGCUGACAGUAUUAAAGACUCAGUGAUGAUAUUCUCUGAGAACACAGAAAGAAAAGAAAUAGAUAAUAUGAUAAAAGCAAUAACAGAAAUUCAAAAAAGAGAGGCUAAAGUGAAAGAAUAAGAGAACAACAACAACACACACAUCACCCCUCCAAACCUUAUGAAUUUCCAGAGAGAAAAACUAUAUAGGAAUUUUCAUCUGUAAUGCUCAAUGCUAGAACACAAAGAAGCAAUGUCAACAAAAUGUUGAAUGAAACUCACAAAUAUCUAUUAACCAAUCUAUCAAUCAAAUAUGAGGGCAAAAUAAAGCCAUUUUUCAGGUAAGAAAGCACCCAGAAAGCAUGCCAAUUCUACAUGUCAAGGAAAAAUAAAUCAGUAAAAUUUGAAGUCAAGUCCAAAGAUUGCUGGUGUCUUUAAUGUAAAUGUUUAGAGACUUCUUAAAACAUAACAGAUAAGACAACAAUCUAGAAAGUAAAUUUCAGCAUAACCUGGAAGGAGAGGGUGUCUAGGCAGGGACAAGUAGAAAUAUUCCAACAGCUCAGUGCUGAAGCAAGCAGGUCUCUAGGUACAGAGCCUGAGUAUGAAUUCUGCCUCCACUACUCACUGGCUGUGUGCCUUUCAGA